UCACCCCUCAAGCCCCGCGCUUGGUGUUGGACGGCCGGUCGAGCGAUCGACCCCUCCUAAAGACAAUGACGGCGGCCUGCGGUUCCCCCGGUACACUGAGCUUUUAACCGAGCACGUAUCGGACCAGGGCACCCGGGACCCGGUCCUCUCCCGUAACGGGAAACACUUUUACUAA
This 175-nucleotide unclassified non-coding RNA is filed under the name uncultured Cladophialophora. RNAcentral's name for it is "sequence contains ITS2". The record is from RNAcentral. Lineage: Eukaryota; Fungi; Ascomycota; Eurotiomycetes; Chaetothyriales; Herpotrichiellaceae.